GACGAACGCUGGCGGCGUGCUUAACACAUGCAAGUCGAACGGAAAGGCCCUGCUUGCAGGGUACUCGAGUGGCGAACGGGUGAGUAACACGUGGGUGAUCUGCCCUGCACUUCGGGAUAAGCCUGGGAAACUGGGUCUAAUACCGGAUAGGAGCCAUUUUUAGUGUGAUGGUUGGAAAGUUUUUUCGGUGUAGGAUGGGCUCGCGGCCUAUCAGCUUGUUGGUGGGGUAAUGGCCUACCAAGGCGGCGACGGGUAGCCGGCCUGAGAGGGUGGACGGCCACAUUGGGACUGAGAUACGGCCCAGACUCCGACGGGAGGCAGCAGUGGGGAAUAUUGCACAAUGGGCGCAAGCCUGAUGCAGCGACGCCGCGUGGGGGAUGACGGCCUUCGGGUUGUAAACUCCUUUCGCUAGGGACGAAGCUUUUUGUGACGGUACCUAGAGAAGAAGCACCGGCUAACUACGUG
Molecule: ribosomal RNA, 465 nt
Filed under: uncultured bacterium
Lineage: Bacteria
Description: partial 16S ribosomal RNA
Rfam family: Bacterial small subunit ribosomal RNA
Source: RNAcentral